Molecule: ribosomal RNA, 597 nt
Filed under: Poecilimon laevissimus
Lineage: Eukaryota; Metazoa; Arthropoda; Insecta; Orthoptera; Tettigoniidae
Description: partial 12S ribosomal RNA
Rfam family: Microsporidia small subunit ribosomal RNA (bases 181-588)
Source: RNAcentral
GUGGGUUGGAAUUAAUUUAUUUARGUUAAAGUUAAAAGGGGAAGGUAAGAGGUUAAUUAAUUUUAUAGGUAAAAUUUGUUAAAUUGGUUGUUUCUUAGGGUAGAGAAUUGAAGCUUUGAAAGUUAAAGUUGAGACUAGGAUUAGAUACCCUAUUAUUAAAAUUGUAAAGAAGAAGAACUUGAGUAGUAUUAGUUAAGUACUUGAAACUCAAAGAAUUUGGCGGUGUCUUAGUCUUUUCAGAGGAAUCUGUCCUAUAAUCGAUAUUMCACGUUAAAUGUUACUUAAUUUAGUUAGUCAAUUUGUAUACCGCCGUCAUGAGAUCAUCUUUUUAGAGGAAGAAUUUUCUUGAUAUUAUAAGAUAAUAUGUCAGGUCAAGGUGCAGUUUAUAGUUAAGAAGGAGAUGGAUUACAAUAAAUUUAUUUAAAUGGAUUUUUGACUGAAARGUAAGGAUGAAGGUGGAUUUGAAGGUAAUUUUGUUAAAUUAUGAUAAAAUGAUUAAAGCUCUAGGACAUGUACACAUCGCCCGUCGCUCUCGUUAGUAAGAUGAGAUAAGUCGUAACAUAGUAGUCGUACUGGAAAGUGUGGCUAGAAAGUCAA